Long non-coding RNA from Pistacia vera, 666 nucleotides. RefSeq lists it as uncharacterized. Lineage: Eukaryota; Viridiplantae; Streptophyta; Magnoliopsida; Sapindales; Anacardiaceae. The transcript is spliced from 3 exons. The record is from RefSeq and is a predicted model, not a curated record.
AAUAUUUUCAAAUUUCAAAAAACAUUUCAACGGCAAAAUUAUCUUAUUUGAUCUUCCCCAACUUUAUAAUUCUUCAAAUCUCUCAAAUUCCUCUCUCUCUCUCUCUUAACCCUAACGUAUUUCUCAAAUUUGAAAUAUGUUAUCAUGCUUACUGUUCUCCAGGAAAUGCUGAGUAUCCUGAGGAGCCAUUCAAUCUCUGUGAUGCAUUUAGCAAUCCUCAACCUCAGGAAAGCCUGCAGAUUCUGCCACACCCAGUUUGGGGCGACUACGGAUACCCAACGGAGAGAGGUGAGGGUUGGAUCGGUGAUCCCAGGACCUGCGAGCUUGAUGUUCGAAGAUUAUCUCAAUCACUUUACUUCUGUCAGGAUCCUGGUACAGAACCUGUAAAGAGGCACUGGCCAUCAAUAGACUUGGGGACUGAAAUUUAUGUUAGUGGUCAGCAUCAAGUUGCAGAAUGGACUGGCAUGUGGGAUUUGACACCGACACUGAUCUAUUAAUGGAGCUGCCAGAAGAAUACACUUUUGAAAUUGCUCUUGCAGAUUUGAUUGAUAAUUCCUUGCAAGCCAUAUGGACCAAUCGUGAAAAUGAUAGGAGAUUAUUAGGUAUGACAUUUGUAUGAUGACCAUAUUUUUGCUUUGCUGCCUAUUACAUUUACUUUUAUGUGUU